GAUUCUGACAAUGGAGAUAUUAAUUAUGAUUAUGUUCAUGAAUUGUCAUUGGAAAUGAAGCGUCAGAAGAUACAGAGGGAAUUAAUGAAGCUGGAACAAGAAAACAUGGAGAAGAGAGAAGAAAUUAUCAUUAAAAAGGAGGUUUCACCAGAAGUGGUUAGAUCAAAAUUGUCCCCGUCACCUUCUCUAAGAAAGUCUAGCAAAUCUCCGAAGCGAAAAUCAAGCCCGAAGUCGUCUUCAGCUAGCAAGAAAGAUAGGAAGACAUCUGCAGUAUCUUCUCCCCUGUUGGACCAGCAGAGGUCAGUAGGGUGAUAAAUAGUAUCGAGAAAAUAGCUUUUUCUGAAGUGAUACUAAAAAGAAUUAGUAGGUUAUAAAAGGGUACUUUUAGUACAUUUUAUAUUUAAUGUAAGCUUUUUUGUUCUAAAAAGAAAUUUGAAAUGUUUCAAUUAAAAAGACAAUUAUAGAGAACAAUAAAACAAACAUCUGUGUAACAUCCA
Molecule: long non-coding RNA, 497 nt
Filed under: Homo sapiens (human)
Lineage: Eukaryota; Metazoa; Chordata; Mammalia; Primates; Hominidae
Description: non-protein coding lnc-CPB2-1:1
Source: RNAcentral